Molecule: ribosomal RNA, 253 nt
Filed under: uncultured bacterium
Lineage: Bacteria
Description: partial 16S ribosomal RNA
Rfam family: Bacterial small subunit ribosomal RNA
Source: RNAcentral
UACGUAGGGGGCAAGCGUUGUUCGGAAUUACUGGGCGUAAAGCGCGUGUAGGCGGAGGGGUGUGUCGAACGUGAAAGGCUGCGGCUCAACCGCAGAGCGCCGUUCGAAACUGCCUUUCUUGAGGGCCGAAGAGGAGAGUGGAAUUCCCGGUGUAGCGGUGAAAUGCGUAGAGAUCGGGAGGAACACCCAUGGCGAAGGCAGCUCUCUGGGCGGUCUCUGACGCUGAGAUGUGAAAGCGUGGGGAGCGAACGGG